AAUGAACGCUGGUGGCAGACCUAACACAUGCAAGUCGAACGGUCUAUAUUAAACUUCGGUUUUUAUAGAUAGUGGCAAACGGGUGAGUAAAGCAUGGGAAUCUACCUAGAAGUUUGGAAUAGCUAUUAGAAAUGAUAGAUAAUACCAAAUACACCUCGAGAGGGAAAGUUGACUUCGGUCUUCGCUUUUAGAUGAGCCCAUGUUAAAUUAGUUAGUUGGUAGGGUAAUGGCCUACCAAGAUGAUGAUUUAUAGCUGGUCUUAGAGGAUGAUCAGCCACACGUGGAAUUGAGAUACGGUCCAGACUCCGUACGGGGAGGCAGCAGGUAGGGAAUUAGUUGGAACAAGUGGGCCACAAGCCUGACUCCAGUCAUCGCCACGUGAGUGA
Molecule: ribosomal RNA, 386 nt
Filed under: uncultured bacterium
Lineage: Bacteria
Description: bacterial SSU rRNA
Rfam family: Bacterial small subunit ribosomal RNA
Source: RNAcentral